ACCAGACUCCUACGGGAGGCAGCAGUGGGGGAUAUUGCACAAUGGGGGGAACCCUGAUGCAGCGACGCCGCGUGGGUGAAGAAGUAUUUCGGUAUGUAAAGCCCUAUCGGCAGGGAAGAAAGAAAUGACGGUACCUGACUAAGAAGCCCCGGCUAACUACGUGCCAGCAGCCGCGGGAAUACGUAGGGGGCAAGCGUUAUCCGGAUUCACUGGGUGUAAAGGGAGCGUAGACGGCGACGCAAGUCUGGAGUGAAAGCCCGGGGCCCAACCCCGGGACUGCUCUGGAAACUGCGUCGCUGGAGUACGGGAGGGGCAGGCGGAAUUCCUGGUGUAGCGGUGAAAUGCGUAGAUAUCAGGAGGAACACCGGCGGCGAAGGCGGCCUGCUGGACCGUGACUGACGUUGAGGCUCGAGAGCGUGGGGAGCAAACAGGAUUAGAUACCCGCGUACC
RNAcentral lists this ribosomal RNA (450 nucleotides) under uncultured bacterium. Its description in RNAcentral is "bacterial SSU rRNA". It matches the Rfam family "Bacterial small subunit ribosomal RNA", at positions 330 to 794 of the family's 1533-position model. The record is from RNAcentral.